CCUACGGGUGGCAGCAGUGGGGAAUAUUGCGCAAUGGGCGAAAGCCUGACGCAGCGACGCCGCGUGAGGGAUGAAGGUCUUCGGAUCGUAAACCUCUGUCAGCAGGGAAGAACGGUCACUGUGCUAAUCAGCAGUGAAUUGACGGUACCUGCAAAGGAAGCACCGGCUAACUCCGUGCCAGCAGCCGCGGUAAUACGGAGGGUGCGAGCGUUAAUCGGAAUUACUGGGCGUAAAGCGCUCGUAGGCGGUAUGGCAAGUCAAGGGUGAAAUCCCCGCGCUCAACGGGGGAACUGCCUUUGAAACUGGCAAACUGGAGUGUGUGAGAGGAUGGUGGAAUUCCAGGUGUAGGAGUGAAAUGCGUAGAUAUCUGGAGGAACAUCGGUGGCGAAGGCGACUAUCUGGCACACAACUGACGCUGAGGAGCGAAAGCGUGGGUAGCAAACAGGAUUAGAUACCCGGGUAGUC
RNAcentral lists this ribosomal RNA (465 nucleotides) under uncultured bacterium. Its description in RNAcentral is "partial 16S ribosomal RNA". It matches the Rfam family "Bacterial small subunit ribosomal RNA", at positions 338 to 795 of the family's 1533-position model. The record is from RNAcentral.